RNAcentral lists this ribosomal RNA (424 nucleotides) under uncultured bacterium. Its description in RNAcentral is "bacterial SSU rRNA". It matches the Rfam family "Bacterial small subunit ribosomal RNA", at positions 355 to 776 of the family's 1533-position model. The record is from RNAcentral.
UAGGGAAUAUUGGUCAAUGGGCGCAAGCCUGAACCAGCCAUGCCGCGUGCAGGAUGACGGCCCUAUGGGUUGUAAACUGCUUUUGUACGGGAAGAAACCCCACUACGUGUAGUGGGUUGACGGUACCGUGAGAAUAAGGAUCGGCUAACUUCGUGCCAGCAGCCGCGGUAAUACGAAGGAUCCUAGCGUUGUCCGGAUUUACUGGGUUUAAAGGGAGCGUAGGCGGACUUUUAAGUCAGUGGUGAAAGCCUGCAGCUUAACUGUAGAAUUGCCAUUGAAACUGAUUGUCUCGAGUGUGGUUGAGGUCACUGGAAUGUAUCAUGUAGCGGUGAAAUGCUUAGAUAUGAUACAGAACACCAAUUGCGAAGGCAGGUGACUAAGCCAUUACUGACGCUGAUGCUCGAAAGCGUGGGGAUCAAACAGG